ACCCUGUGAGUAAAUGAAAGGCAGACAAACAGACAUAUCAUACCAAGCACAGUGAACACAAACUUGUCCUUAAAUCCUCAACUGCACUUGUAAUAUAAAUCUUUUCUUCUUUUCCAUUAAGAUGAUAGAUGGUGUAAAUCCAAGCAGUAUUCCUCCUGAUUUUGUGUCCCACGUUGCCUUGAGUGUGUUGAGAGCAGAGAAAUGAUUUCCAUAGAGAGGAGGCUUUGCAUGGUCAGCUGAUCCUCCAGUGAAGUGAGAAGGUUUAUAGUCCUGUGAGUUCAACACUGCAGGACUCAGAUGUGUCAGUCAACACAGCAGAAAGCACAAGCACCAUGACUCUCAUCACCAUCCUCAUCUGGACGCUGGCCUGCUGCUGUUUCACAGGAUGCAGCGCUCAGGUGACUGUGACUCAGCCUCCAGUGGUGACAUCUGCUCCAGGAUCCACUGUCACUCUCACCUGUAAGACCAGCCAAGCUGUUUACAGACUCUCUUAUCUUGGAGAUUUUAUGUUCUGGUAUCAACAGAAAUCUGGACAGCCUCCAAAGCUCCUAAUAAAAUUGGUGAGCACACGUGAAUCAGGAACACCAGCUCGGUUUAGUGGCAGUGGAAGCAGCUCUGACUUCACUUUGACCAUCAGUGGAGUUCAGACUGAAGAUGCAGCAGUUUAUUACUGUCAGAGUUACCACAGUGGUGGUGUGUUCACACAGUGAUUUAUGGUGGUACAAAAACCUCCCUCAGUCAGACUGCAGAGACACUGAGCUGUUACAGCAGGAAGCGACUGCAGCUGCUGAAGAGGAAGAGACUCUGACACAGACCACUGAACACAGAGCUGACAGUAACCUCA
Molecule: non-coding RNA, 844 nt
Organism: Epinephelus lanceolatus (giant grouper)
Lineage: Eukaryota; Metazoa; Chordata; Actinopteri; Perciformes; Serranidae
Source: the annotation of a RefSeq genome assembly